This 496-nucleotide ribosomal RNA is filed under the name uncultured bacterium. RNAcentral describes it as "bacterial SSU rRNA". It matches the Rfam family "Bacterial small subunit ribosomal RNA", at positions 10 to 522 of the family's 1533-position model. The record is from RNAcentral.
AGUUUGAUCAUGGCUCAGAUUGAACGCUGGCGGCAGGCCUAACACAUGCAAGUCGAGCGCGAAAGUCUUCGGAUGAGUAAAGCGGCGAACGGGUGAGUAACACGUGAGUAAUCUGCCCUUCACUCUGGGAUAACUGCCUGAAAGGGUGGCUAAUACUGGAUGCGACCAACUGCUGCAUGGUGUGUUGGUGGAAAGCGUUUAGUGGUGGGGGAUGUGCUCGCGGCCUAUCAGCUUGUUGGUGGGGUAAUGGCCUACCAAGGCGACGACGGGUAGCCGGCCUGAGAGGGCGACCGGCCACACUGGGACUGAGACACGGCCCAGACUCCUACGGGAGGCAGCAGUGGGGAAUAUUGCACAAUGGGCGGAAGCCUGAUGCAGCGACGCCGCGUGAGGGAUGACGGCCUUCGGGUUGUAAACCUCUUUCAGCAGGGACGAAGCGAAAGUGACGGUACCUGCAGAAGAAGCGCCGGCCAACUACGUGCCAGCAGCCGCGGUA